Molecule: long non-coding RNA, 681 nt
Organism: Ziziphus jujuba (common jujube)
Lineage: Eukaryota; Viridiplantae; Streptophyta; Magnoliopsida; Rosales; Rhamnaceae
Exons: 3
Source: RefSeq, a predicted model, not a curated record
CCUUCAGAAUAAGAAAGAGAAAAAGAAAGUGAAGACGUAGCUUUAUAGAGAGAUAGGAAAUGAGUGAAAAAACAAAUGUGAUGCCUUGCAGCAUCACGGAUGUGAACAGGAACGCUAAUAACUGGUUGGAGAUCGAAGACCUCGCCCGCUACGCGGUCGACGACAACAACAAGAAAAAGAAUGCUGUUUUAGAGUUUGUGAACGUGGUGAAAGCAAAACAGCAGGUGGUUGCUGGUAUGUUGUACUGCAUAACCCUGGAAGCAAACGAUGGAGGUGAGAAGAAAGUAUACGAAACCAAGGUCUGCGUGAAGGCAUGGCAGAACUUCAAGGAGGUGCAGGAAUUCAAACUUAUUGGUGAUGCUCCUUCUGACUCCAUCACUGCCACUACCACUACCACUACCACUAUCGCGUAGCCAGGUGAUGGUGACUAUGCAAAAAUUACUAUGCUUAGUUGAAGCCUAAGUUCAUAAUAAUAUCUCAUAAUAAUAUUAACGAUGUACUCCAUUAAUAAAUGGAGGUAAAUCCUUCCUGUAGAAGUAAAAUAAAUAAAUAAAUACUUAUCUUUUGAAUUAUUCAAAGUUUGUGGAUGGAUACAUCUUACAGCCAUGAAUUAUGGUGCAUCUCUUUGAAUGGAUACAUGUUACCAUUUUGUUGAAUCUUUGAAUUAUGGUGACUCUCUUU